AUACAGAGGAUGCGAGCGUUAAUCGGAAUUACUGGGCGUAAAGCGCGCGUAGGCGGCUUUGUAAGUCGGAUGUGAAAGCCCUGGGCUCAACCUGGGAAUGGCAUUCGAUACUGCAGAGCUAGAGUAUGGUAGAGGGAAGUGGAAUUUCCGGUGUAGCGGUGAAAUGCGUAGAUAUCGGAAGGAACACCAGUGGCGAAGGCGACUUCCUGGGCCAAUACUGACGCUGAGGUGCGAAAGCGUGGGGAGCAAACAGGAUUAGAUACCCCGGUAGUCC
This 274-nucleotide ribosomal RNA is filed under the name uncultured bacterium. RNAcentral describes it as "partial 16S ribosomal RNA". It matches the Rfam family "Bacterial small subunit ribosomal RNA", at positions 523 to 796 of the family's 1533-position model. The record is from RNAcentral.